ACACGUCUCUGGAGAGUCCCAAUCGGGCGCCGAAGGUGCAAGGAAUACACUCUAUUCCAAUCUCUCAGGCAAAAGGACAGAGAAU
Molecule: non-coding RNA, 85 nt
Filed under: uncultured Megasphaera sp.
Lineage: Bacteria; Bacillati; Bacillota; Negativicutes; Veillonellales; Veillonellaceae
Description: Glycine riboswitch
Rfam family: Glycine riboswitch aptamer
About the family: This family represents the bacterial glycine riboswitch.
Source: RNAcentral